RNAcentral lists this ribosomal RNA (484 nucleotides) under uncultured bacterium. Its description in RNAcentral is "partial 16S ribosomal RNA". It matches the Rfam family "Bacterial small subunit ribosomal RNA", at positions 28 to 507 of the family's 1533-position model. The record is from RNAcentral.
AUUGAACGCUGGCGGCAUGCUUUACACAUGCAAGUCGAACGGCAGCGCGGGCUUCGGCCUGGCGGCGAGUGGCGAACGGGUGAGUAAUGCAUCGGAACGUGCCCAGUGGUGGGGGAUAGCCCGGCGAAAGCCGGAUUAAUACCGCAUACGACCUGAGGGUGAAAGCGGGGGACCGAAAGGCCUCGCGCUAUUGGAGCGGCCGAUGUCGGAUUAGCUAGUUGGUGGGGUAAAGGCUUACCAAGGCGACGAUCCGUAGCUGGUCUGAGAGGACGACCAGCCACACUGGGACUGAGACACGGCCCAGACUCCUACGGGAGGCAGCAGUGGGGAAUUUUGGACAAUGGGGGCAACCCUGAUCCAACCAUGCCGCGUGCGGGAAGAAGGCCUUCGGGUUGUAAACCGCUUUUGUUCGGGAAGAAAUCCUCUGGGCUAAUACCCCGGGGGGAUGACGGUACCGGAAGAAUAAGCACCGGCUAACUACGUG